Molecule: ribosomal RNA, 543 nt
Filed under: uncultured delta proteobacterium
Lineage: Bacteria; Deltaproteobacteria
Description: bacterial SSU rRNA
Rfam family: Bacterial small subunit ribosomal RNA
Source: RNAcentral
GAGUUUGAUCAUGGCUCAGAACGAACGCUGGCGGCGUACCUAACACAUGCAAGUCGAACGAGAAAUUCCGAUUCGUCGGGAGAGUAAAGUGGCGAAUGGGUGAGUAAUGCGAGGGUAAUCUGCCCUUGAAUUAGGGAUAACUUUGCGAAAGCGAAGCUAAUACCUAAUAAGACUACAGUCUCUUAGGAGACAGUAGGAAAAGAUGGCCUCUGUUUCAAGCUAUUGUUUAAGGAUGAGCCCUUGUACUAUUAGCUAGUUGGUGAGGUAAUGGCUCACCAAGGCGAAGAUGGUUAGCUGGUCUGAGAGGAUGAUCAGCCACACUGGAACUGAGACACGGUCCAGACUCCUACGGGAGGCAGCAGUGAGGAAUAUUGCGCAAUGGGGGAAACCCUGACGCAGUGACGCCGCGUGAGUGAUGAAGGCUUUCGAGUCGUAAAGCUCUGUGAGGUGGAAAGAAAUGUUCCAGUACUAAUAUUACUGGAAUUUGACGGUACCACCAGAGGAAGCACCGGCUAACUCCGUGCCAGCAGCCGCGGUAAUACG